UUUAAACAUGACCAUAAGUUUUCGUGUCCAAUUUUGAUCGUCUGUCUUGAUUUUUUUAUAAUCAGUAUUUUUAUUAUUAUUAGAUGAUAAAACAUGAAUAAUACUUUAUACGUAACUUAUAUUUUUUAGUUUUCUUAAUUUUCUUAAAUUUUUUUAAAUAAAAAGAACGAUUAAAGUUGGACACGGAAACUCGUGACUAUGUUUAAA
Molecule: non-coding RNA, 207 nt
Organism: Oryza punctata
Lineage: Eukaryota; Viridiplantae; Streptophyta; Magnoliopsida; Poales; Poaceae
Source: Rfam